Molecule: ribosomal RNA, 882 nt
Filed under: uncultured archaeon
Lineage: Archaea
Description: SSU rRNA
Rfam family: Archaeal small subunit ribosomal RNA
Source: RNAcentral
AGGUCAUUGCUAUUGGAGUCCGAUUUAGCCAUGCUAGUUGCACGAGUUCAGACUCGUAGCAGAUAGCUCAGUAACACGUGGCCAAACUACCCUAUGGAUCCGAAUAACCUCGGGAAACUGAGGCUAAUGCGGAAUACCGCUCGCUGCCUGGAAGUGGCGCGAGCGCGAAACGUUCAGGCGCCAUAGGAUGUGGCUGCGGCCGAUUAGGUAGACGGUGGGGUAACGGCCCACCGUGCCGAUAAUCGGUACGGGUUGUGAGAGCAAGAGCCCGGAGACGGUAUCUGAGACAAGAUACCGGGCCCUACGGGGCGCAGCAGGCGCGAAACCUUUACACUGCACGCGAGUGCGAUAAGGGGACUCCGAGUGCGAGGGCAUAUAGUCCUCGCUUUUCACCACCGUAAGGUGGUGGUGGAAUAAGUGCUGGGCAAGACCGGUGCCAGCCGCCGCGGUAAUACCGGCAGCACGAGUGAUGACCGCUAUUAUUGGGCCUAAAGCGUCCGUAGCUGGCCGCACAAGUCUAUCGGGAAAUCUGCGUGCUUAACGCGCAGGCGUCCGGUGGAAACUGUGUGGCUUGGGACCGGAAGAUCCAGAGGGUACGUCUGGGGUAGGAGUGAAAUCCUGUAAUCCUGGACGGACCGCCGGUGGCGAAAGCGCUCUGGAAGGACGGAUCCGACGGUGAGGGACGAAAGCUCGGGUCACGAACCGGAUUAGAUACCCGGGUAGUCCGAGCUGUAAACGAUGUCUGCUAGGUGUGACACUGGCUACGAGCCAGUGUUGUGCCGUAGGGAAGCCGUGAAGCAGACCGCCUGGGAAGUACGUCCGCAAGGAUGAAACUUAAAGGAAUUGGCGGGGGAGCACUACAACCGGAGGAGCCUGCGGUUU